UACGUAGGUGGCAAGCGUUAUCCGGAAUUAUUGGGCGUAAAGCGCGCGCAGGCGGUUUCUUAAGUCUGAUGUGAAAGCCCACGGCUCAACCGUGGAGGGUCAUUGGAAACUGGGGAACUUGAGUGCAGAAGAGAAAAGCGGAAUUCCACGUGUAGCGGUGAAAUGUGUAGAGAUGUGGAGGAACACCAGUGGCGAAGGCGGCUUUUUGGUCUGUAACUGACGCUGAGGCGCGAAAGCGUGGGGAGCAAACAGG
RNAcentral lists this ribosomal RNA (253 nucleotides) under uncultured bacterium. RNAcentral's name for it is "partial 16S ribosomal RNA". It matches the Rfam family "Bacterial small subunit ribosomal RNA", at positions 524 to 776 of the family's 1533-position model. The record is from RNAcentral.